This 253-nucleotide ribosomal RNA is filed under the name uncultured bacterium. Its description in RNAcentral is "partial 16S ribosomal RNA". It matches the Rfam family "Bacterial small subunit ribosomal RNA", at positions 524 to 776 of the family's 1533-position model. The record is from RNAcentral.
GACGAACCGUGCGAACGUUGUUCGGAAUCACUGGGCUUAAAGGGCGCGUAGGCGGUUGAUCAAGUCUGGGGUGAAAUCUUUCGGCUUAACCGGAAAAGUGCCUUGGAUACUGGUCAGCUGGAGGGAGGUAGGGGCAGUUGGAACUUCCAGUGGAGCGGUGAAAUGCGUUGAUAUUGGAAGGAACGCCAGUGGCGAAAGCGAGCUGCUGGACCUCUUCUGACGCUGAUGCGCGAAAGCCAGGGGAGCAAACGGG